AGCGAACGCUGGCGGCAGGCUUAACACAUGCAAGUCGAGCGGGCGUAGCAAUACGUCAGCGGCAGACGGGUGAGUAACGCGUGGGAACGUACCUUUUGGUUCGGAACAACACAGGGAAACUUGUGCUAAUACCGGAUAAGCCCUUACGGGGAAAGAUUUAUCGCCGAAAGAUCGGCCCGCGUCUGAUUAGCUUGUUGGUGAGGUAACGGCUCACCAAGGCGACGAUCAGUAGCUGGUCUGAGAGGAUGAUCAGCCACAUUGGGACUGAGACACGGCCCAAACUCCUACGGGAGGCAGCAGUGGGGAAUAUUGGACAAUGGGGGGAAACCCUGAUCCAGCCAUGCCGCGUGAGUGAUGAAGGCCUUAGGGUUGUAAAGCUCUUUUACCCGGGAUGAUAAUGACAGUACCGGGAGAAUAAGCCCCGGCUAACUCCGUGCCAGCAGCCGCGGUAAU
This 453-nucleotide ribosomal RNA is filed under the name uncultured bacterium. RNAcentral's name for it is "bacterial SSU rRNA". It matches the Rfam family "Bacterial small subunit ribosomal RNA", at positions 29 to 524 of the family's 1533-position model. The record is from RNAcentral.